This 29-nucleotide non-coding RNA is filed under the name Rattus norvegicus (Norway rat). Lineage: Eukaryota; Metazoa; Chordata; Mammalia; Rodentia; Muridae. The record is from RNAcentral.
UGUGACUGACACCCCACUUGUCCUUGUGU